This is an RNA transcript of Pistacia vera, 2880 nucleotides long. It is a transcript of the gene named ATP-dependent zinc metalloprotease FTSH 11, chloroplastic/mitochondrial, with no coding region annotated. NCBI's taxonomy places the organism in Eukaryota, Viridiplantae, Streptophyta, Magnoliopsida, Sapindales, Anacardiaceae. The record is from RefSeq and is a predicted model, not a curated record. The transcript has 19 exons.
GAGAUAAGGUUUUACCUUCUAAUCAAUCUCUUAAUAAGCCAAAUCUUGUGGCUCUCAUCUCUCUCUCUUUUCCCAGAUAGAUAUAACCAGUCAAAACGUAAAAACUCUUAACAAAACAGAGAGUGAGCGAGCUAGUGAGAGAGUGCUCACAAAUAAACCCUAACAAUGACCAUCAUUCUCCAAGCUUCUCUCCUCUGUAAACCUUCACUCUCUCUUGUCAUUCAUCCUCUUCCUUCUUCUUCUCCUUUUAAACGACACCCUUUUCACCGCUCUUUUUCCCCUCCUCCACGCCACCACCACCACUUCCACUGCUCUUCCACUUUUAAUUAUUUGCGUUGUCGUUCCCUCCGUCUUUCAAUUCCUUGCACAUUGCACCCUGACAACGUAGAUUCCCAGGAUUCUAAAUUUGUAAAUAAUUCUAAUUCCGAUUUUCGUGGAGAUAAUGAUAAUAGUAAUGCAUUGAAAUUGUCUUCCGAGGUUCCGACUUCGAGCUCUGAAGAGACUGCGAUCAGUAAGAAUUCGAAAAGUGAGAUGAAGGUGGAGGAGACGAAUGGCGAGGAUAGUUUAGGUAAAAGUGAGGGGUUGGAUGAGAGUUCAGAAGAAAAUGACGGGGCAAAGAGUAAAGUUCCUUUGCUGGUGUUCUUGAUGGGCUUGUGGACGAAAACGAAAGUAGGAAUUGAGAAAAUGAUGACCUGGGAUUGGCUAAGUUGGUGGCCUUUUUGGCGGCAAGAGAAACGGCUUGAACAGCUAAUAGCUGAAGCUAAUGCUAAUCCGAAAGAUGUUGCCUUGCAGAGCGCUCUCUUAGCUGAACUCAAUAAGCACAGUCCUGAGUCAGUGAUCAAAAGGUUUGAGCAAAGGGAGCAUGAUGUGGACAGUAGAGGCGUAGCAGAAUAUCUUCGAGCACUUGUUGCUACUAAUGCUAUUGCCGAGUAUCUUCCAGAUGAACAAUCUGGCAAGCCUUCUGCUCUUCCUUCAUUGUUGCAAGAAUUGAAGCAACGUGCAUCAGGGAACACAGAUGAGCCCUUUUUGAAUCCUGGCAUAUCUGAGAAACAGCCGUUGCAUGUGAUGAUGGUUGACCCUAAAGUGUCAAACAAAUCUCGAUUUGCACAAGAGCUUAUCUCAACUAUCUUAUUCACCGUAGCUGUUGGAUUAGUAUGGAUAAUGGGUGCUGCUGCACUUCAAAAAUACAUAGGAAGCCUGGGUGGGAUAGGAGCUUCAGGUGUUGGCUCAAGUUCUUCUUAUACUCCAAAGGAGUUGAAUAAAGAAGUUAUGCCAGAGAAGAAUGUUAAAACAUUCAAGGAUGUCAAAGGUUGUGAUGAUGCAAAACAAGAGCUUGUGGAAGUAGUAGAGUAUCUGAAAAACCCAUCGAAAUUUACUCGCCUUGGUGGGAAGUUGCCUAAGGGAAUUCUUUUGACUGGAGCACCUGGAACAGGAAAAACUCUGCUUGCCAAGGCUAUUGCUGGAGAAGCUGGGGUACCAUUUUUCUAUAGAGCAGGAUCUGAAUUUGAGGAAAUGUUUGUUGGUGUUGGUGCCCGACGUGUAAGGUCCUUAUUUCAAGCAGCUAAAAAGAAGGCACCUUGUAUCAUCUUUAUCGAUGAAAUAGAUGCUGUCGGAUCCACAAGAAAACAAUGGGAAGGCCACACCAAGAAAACAUUGCAUCAACUACUUGUUGAAAUGGAUGGUUUUGAACAGAAUGAGGGAAUAAUCUUGAUGGCUGCAACAAAUUUGCCUGACAUUCUUGAUCCUGCUUUGACAAGGCCUGGUAGAUUUGACAGGCAUAUUGUUGUUCCAAAUCCUGAUGUGCGAGGCCGACAAGAAAUUUUGGAGCUCUAUCUUCAGGAUAAGCCUUUGGCAGAGGAUGUAGAUGUUAAAUCAAUUGCCAGAGGUACACCAGGAUUCAAUGGAGCAGAUCUUGCGAAUUUGGUAAACAUUGCCGCCAUUAAAGCUGCUGUUGAAGGUUUGGAUAAAUUAACGGCCACUGAGUUGGAGUACGCUAAAGACAGGAUACUUAUGGGUACUGAGCGUAAAACUAUGUUCAUAUCUGAAGAGUCAAAGAAGCUCACUGCAUAUCAUGAGAGUGGUCACGCAAUUGUUGCUUUCAACACUGAGGGUGCACAUCCAAUUCACAAGGCAACAAUCAUGCCACGUGGGUCUGCAUUGGGAAUGGUUACCCAGCUCCCUUCAAAUGAUGAGACAUCAAUUAGCAAGAAGCAGCUAUUAGCUCGUCUUGAUGUUUGUAUGGGGGGAAGGGUUGCUGAGGAACUCAUCUUUGGUCAGGACCAUGUCACCACUGGAGCAAGUAGUGAUCUUCACACAGCUACAGAGCUUGCCCAAUACAUGGUAUCAAACUGCGGGAUGAGUGACGCAAUUGGACCUGUUAACAUCAAAGAACGGCCAAGUUCAGAAAUGCAAUCACGUAUUGAUGCGGAAGUGGUGAAACUCCUAAGAGAAGCAUAUGAUCGUGUAAAGGCCCUAUUAAAGAAGCAUGAGAAGGCGUUACAUGCACUAGCAAAUGCACUAUUAGAGUAUGAGACACUGAGUUCAGAGGAAAUAAAGCGCAUUCUUCUUCCUUACCGAGAAGGACGGCUCCCCGAGCCACAGGUAGAACAACAAGAAGAAGGAGAGCUUGUAUUGGCAUAAACGUGGAUCUUUACUUGGGUAUGUAAAUGUUCGGGGGAGCUCUGUACAGUGUAUUAAAAGCACCACCGGCUGCACGUCUUUGAAGCAACUAACUCCCCUGCUCUAACAACCAACCAAAAAUGGUAGAAAGUUCUGUAUCAUUUGUGAAAUCAUAUGUAUUAUUUUAACUUUACCCCAUUAUGGGUCAAAUUUUGAAUUAUAGCAUUAAUUUAAGAUUAUAGAAACCCUUUUAUUUUCUUC